This is a non-coding RNA of Pelobates cultripes (western spadefoot toad), 206 nucleotides long. The record is from the annotation of a GenBank genome assembly. NCBI's taxonomy places the organism in Eukaryota, Metazoa, Chordata, Amphibia, Anura, Pelobatidae.
CUACAACAUAGACGUAUAUACAAAUUGGAAAAGGCUUAAACAUAAUAAUGCACUACUCUUGUUUAAUGCUAGAUAAAUACCACGACUGCACUUGUUACAUAUAAUUGCCAACCGUGUAUACUUAGCAUGUUUUACAACUGAACAAGCGUAUAGACACCAAUUGUUUAAACAACUAGGAAUAACAGCUAUGUUAAACCUACAGCGAC